GACGAAGGUGGCGAGCGUUGUUCGGAAUCACUGGGCAUAAAGCGCACGUAGGCGGUGGCGUAAGUCGGGUGUGAAAUCCCUCGGCCUAACCGAGGAACUGCGCCCGAUACUGCGUUGCUUGAGGACCAAAGGGGUGCAUGGAAUUUCCGGUGGAGCGGUGAAAUGCGUAGAGAUCAGGAGGAACACCCGUGGCGAAGGCGGCCUUCUGGGUCCGCCCUGACGCUGAGGCGCGAAAGCGUGGGGAGCGAACGGG
This 253-nucleotide ribosomal RNA is filed under the name uncultured bacterium. RNAcentral's name for it is "partial 16S ribosomal RNA". It matches the Rfam family "Bacterial small subunit ribosomal RNA", at positions 524 to 776 of the family's 1533-position model. The record is from RNAcentral.